RNAcentral lists this ribosomal RNA (1013 nucleotides) under Pediococcus pentosaceus. RNAcentral's name for it is "bacterial SSU rRNA". It matches the Rfam family "Bacterial small subunit ribosomal RNA", at positions 434 to 1441 of the family's 1533-position model. The record is from RNAcentral. Lineage: Bacteria; Bacillati; Bacillota; Bacilli; Lactobacillales; Lactobacillaceae.
GUUGUUAAAGAAGAACGUGGGUAAGAGUAACUGUUUACCCAGUGACGGUAUUUAACCAGAAAGCCACGGCUAACUACGUGCCAGCAGCCGCGGUAAUACGUAGGUGGCAAGCGUUAUCCGGAUUUAUUGGGCGUAAAGCGAGCGCAGGCGGUCUUUUAAGUCUAAUGUGAAAGCCUUCGGCUCAACCGAAGAAGUGCAUUGGAAACUGGGAGACUUGAGUGCAGAAGAGGACAGUGGAACUCCAUGUGUAGCGGUGAAAUGCGUAGAUAUAUGGAAGAACACCAGUGGCGAAGGCGGCUGUCUGGUCUGCAACUGACGCUGAGGCUCGAAAGCAUGGGUAGCGAACAGGAUUAGAUACCCUGGUAGUCCAUGCCGUAAACGAUGAUUACUAAGUGUUGGAGGGUUUCCGCCCUUCAGUGCUGCAGCUAACGCAUUAAGUAAUCCGCCUGGGGAGUACGACCGCAAGGUUGAAACUCAAAAGAAUUGACGGGGGCCCGCACAAGCGGUGGAGCAUGUGGUUUAAUUCGAAGCUACGCGAAGAACCUUACCAGGUCUUGACAUCUUCUGACAGUCUAAGAGAUUAGAGGUUCCCUUCGGGGACAGAAUGACAGGUGGUGCAUGGUUGUCGUCAGCUCGUGUCGUGAGAUGUUGGGUUAAGUCCCGCAACGAGCGCAACCCUUAUUACUAGUUGCCAGCAUUAAGUUGGGCACUCUAGUGAGACUGCCGGUGACAAACCGGAGGAAGGUGGGGACGACGUCAAAUCAUCAUGCCCCUUAUGACCUGGGCUACACACGUGCUACAAUGGAUGGUACAACGAGUCGCGAAACCGCGAGGUUAAGCUAAUCUCUUAAAACCAUUCUCAGUUCGGACUGUAGGCUGCAACUCGCCUACACGAAGUCGGAAUCGCUAGUAAUCGCGGAUCAGCAUGCCGCGGUGAAUACGUUCCCGGGCCUUGUACACACCGCCCGUCACACCAUGAGAGUUUGUAACACCCAAAGCCGGUGGGGUAACCU